UACGAAGGGACCUAGCGUUGUUCGGAAUGACUGGGCGUAAAGGGUGCGCAGGCGGUUUUUUAAGUCAGAUGUGAAAGUCCUGGGCUUAACCUGGGGAGGUCAUUUGAUACUGGAAAACUAGAGUAUGAGAGGGGAUAGUGGAAUUACGAGUGUAGGGGUGAAAUCCGUAGAUAUUCGGAAGAACACCAGUGGCGAAGGCGACUUACUGGACACAUAUUGACGCUGAGGUGCGAAAGCGUGGGGAGCAAACAGG
Molecule: ribosomal RNA, 253 nt
Filed under: uncultured bacterium
Lineage: Bacteria
Description: partial 16S ribosomal RNA
Rfam family: Bacterial small subunit ribosomal RNA
Source: RNAcentral